GAUGAACGCUGGCGGCGUGCCUAAUACAUGCCAGUCGAGCGAACAGAUGAGGAGCUUGCUCCUCUGACGUUAGCGGCGGACGGGUGAGUAACACGUGGAUAACCUACCUAUAAGACUGGGAUAACUUCGGGAAACCGGAGCUAAUACCGGAUAAUAUAUUGAACCGCAUGGUUCAAUAGUGAAAGACGGUUUUGCUGUCACUUAUAGAUGGAUCCGCGCCGCAUUAGCUAGUUGGUAAGGUAACGGCUUACCAAGGCAACGAUGCGUAGCCGACCUGAGAGGGGAGUGGCCACAACUGAAACUGAAACGCGUCCGGGCGUACGCAGGGAGGCAGAGUGAAGAACUAUUCACCAAUGGGCAAAAGCUGGCGGGAGCAACGCAGGGAAGAUAAGAAGGGUUUCAGAUUCGAAAACCUAUUUUAUAGGGGAGGAAAAAAUGUAUAUUAAACACUCCCCCUUUAGACCUUACCUAAUAGGAAAACCACGCCCAACGAGGAG
This 497-nucleotide ribosomal RNA is filed under the name uncultured bacterium. Its description in RNAcentral is "partial 16S ribosomal RNA". It matches the Rfam family "Bacterial small subunit ribosomal RNA", at positions 28 to 507 of the family's 1533-position model. The record is from RNAcentral.